GCCGCCGCCGCCGCUGCUGGCCGGCGCCACCGCCGCUGCCUCGCAGGAGCCCGACAGCCCGUGCCGGCUGAAGACCGUCACGGUGUCCACACUGCCCGCCCUGCGGGAGAGCGACAUCGGCUGGAGCGGCGCCCGCGCCGGGGCCGGGGCUGGGACCGGGGCCGGAGCCGCCGCCGCCGCGUCCCCGGGCUCUCCUGGCUCUGCCGGCACAGCCGCCGAGUCGCGCCUCCUGCUCUUUGUGCGCAACGAGCUGCCGGGGCGCAUCGCGGUGCAGGACGAUCUGGACAACACCGAGCUGCCCUUCUUCACCCUGGAGAUGUCUGGCACAGCGGCGGACAUCUCGCUGGUGCACUGGAGACAGCAGUGGCUGGAGAAUGGCACCUUGUACUUCCACGUCUCCAUGAGCAGCUCCGGGCAGCUGGCCCAAGCCACCGCCCCAACUCUCCAGGAGCCCUCGGAGAUUGUUGAGGAGCAGAUGCACAUCCUCCACAUUUCUGUGAUGGGUGGCCUCAUCGCGCUGCUGCUGCUGCUGCUGGUGUUCACCGUGGCGCUGUACGCCCAGCGACGUUGGCAGAAGCGUCGCCGCAUCCCCCAGAAGAGCGCAAGCACAGAAGCCACUCAUGAGAUCCACUACAUCCCAUCUGUGCUGCUGGGUCCCCAGGCGCGGGAGAGCUUCCGUUCCUCCCGGCUGCAAACCCACAAUUCCGUCAUCGGCGUGCCCAUCCGGGAGACUCCCAUCCUGGAUGACUAUGACUGUGAGGAGGACGAGGAGCCACCUAGGCGGGCCAACCAUGUCUCCCGCGAGGACGAGUUUGGCAGCCAGGUGACCCACACUCUGGAUAGUCUGGGACGUCCAGGGGAAGAGAAGGUGGACUUUGAGAAGAAAGGGGGAAUCAGCUUUGGGAGAGCCAAGGGGACGUCGGGCUCUGAGGCAGACGAUGAAACGCAGCUGACGUUCUACACGGAGCAGUACCGCAGUCGCCGCCGCAGCAAAGGUUUACUGAAAAGCCCAGUGAACAAGACAGCCCUGACAUUGAUUGCUGUGAGCUCCUGCAUCCUGGCCAUGGUGUGUGGCAGCCAGAUGUCUUGUCCCCUCACUGUGAAGGUGACUCUGCAUGUGCCCGAGCACUUCAUAGCAGAUGGAAGCAGCUUCGUGGUGAGUGAAGGGAGCUACCUGGAUAUCUCCGACUGGUUAAACCCGGCCAAGCUUUCCCUGUAUUACCAGAUCAAUGCCACCUCCCCAUGGGUGAGGGACCUCUGUGGACAAAGGACAACAGACGCCUGUGAGCAGGUCUGCGACCCAGAAACCGGAGAGUGCAGCUGCUAUGAAGGCUAUGCCCCUGACCCUGUUCACAGACACCUGUGUGUGCGCAGUGACUGGGGACAGAGUGAAGGACCUUGGCCCUACACGACACUCGAGAGGGGCUAUGAUCUGGUGACAGGGGAGCAAGCCCCUGAAAAGAUUCUCAGGUCUACUUUCAGCUUGGGCCAAGGCCUCUGGCUUCCUGUCAGCAAAAGCUUUGUGGUUCCACCUGUGGAGCUGUCCAUCAACCCCCUGGCCAGCUGCAAGACCGAUGUACUCGUCACGGAAGACCCUGCAGACGUCAGGGAAGAAGCCAUGCUGUCCACAUACUUUGAAACCAUCAAUGACCUGCUGUCCUCCUUCGGGCCAGUUCGUGACUGCUCUCGGAACAAUGGGGGCUGCACUCGUAACUUCAAGUGUGUAUCUGACCGGCAGGUGGACUCCUCAGGAUGUGUGCAUUCGUCUGCUUUUUGAACUCAGGAACAUAACCACAGAGACUGCUGAGAUAUAACUUACAGCGUUUUUUUAAAAUUUGAUUUAAAAAAAUAAUUUCAACAUUUAUUAUAGAUUCAGAGGUACAUGUGCAGGUUUGUUACCUGGAUACAUUGUGUGAUUCUGAGGUUUGCGGUACAAUUGAUCCCAUCACUCAGGUACUAAGCGUAGUGCCCAAUAAGUAGUUUUUUAAUCCUUGCCCGUUUCUUCCCUUCACACCCCCUGCCUUCUUCCCCCGUCUAGUAGUCCCCAGUGUCUCUUAUUGCCACUUUUAUGUCCAUGAGUACCCAAUAUUUAGCUCCCACUUUUUUUUUUUUUUUUUUUUUUUUGAGACGGAGCUUUGCUCACAUUACCCAGGCUACAAUGCAAUGGUGCAAUCUUGGCUCACUGCAGCCUCUGCCUCCUGAGUUCAAGCGAUUCUCCUGCAUCAGCCUCCCGAGUACCUGGGAUUACAGGUGCCCGCCACCACCCCUGGUUAAUCUGUAGUAUUUUUAGUAGACAUGGGGGGGGUGGGGGUUUCACCAUGUUGGCCAGGCUGGUCUCGAACUCCUGAUCUCAGGUGAUCCACCCACCUCGGCCUCCCAAAGUGUCGGGAUUACAGGUGUGAGCCACCGCGCCCAGCCUAGCUCCCACUUAUAAGUGAGAACAUGUGGUAUUUAGUUUUCUGUUCCUGUGUUAAUUAGCUUAGGAUAACGGUCUCCAGCUGCAACCGUAUUACUGCAAAGGGCAUGAUUUUCUUUUUAUGGCUGCAUAGUAUUCCAUGUAUAUAUGCACCACAUUAUUUUUUUAUCCAGUCCACCAUUGAUGGGCACCCAGGUUGAGUCCAUGUCUUUAUAUUGUGAAUAGGGCGGCAAUGAACAUACGGUUGCAUGUGUCUUUUUGGUAGAAUGAUUUAUUUUCUUUUGGAUGUAUACCCAGUAAUGGGAUUGCUGGCUCUGAAGGAUACAUAAUUUUCUUCAAGAAUAGGAGGCCAGGCCUGGCUGAGGGCAAAAUGUAGAGAGAGAUACUGAGGGUUGGACCCUGCAGAGAACAGAUGCUGGCUGGUUGUGCCUAAGUGGUUUCCAGAUCCAGGUGUAGGCAGAGAUGAAACAGGGGUGUGGUUUUCAUUCUGUGCCAGGGAGCUCUCCUGGGGGAUGGGAGCAGGCUCUGUGUCCUCCACUCUGAAGUCUCAGGCCCCCUGGUGGUGCCUGCAGCAGCUGUCCUUCAUUACGCAGGACUAUUGAUCCCUGUAAUCCUUUUUGCAUGCCUCCCCCAACCCCCCACCGCUUCCCUCCUUCUCAGCACCGAAGUCCAGCACAAAUUGAGCGGCAGCUGAAUUGGCAUGAGUUGAUUAAAACUCCCAGUAAUUAUGGGCUCUUGAUUGGCCUGGUUGUCCAAAUCAAUGUCUGCAUUAAUAGACAGGCUAGCUGGCCUAGUUGACAGAUUGAGGCUGAGUGGCGAGAGGGGUGGGGGACUGAGGACUGGCAGAGCCUUUCCCACUCACUCAUAUGCCAGGAAGCACACCAGAGGUCUCCUGGGAUGAGAAGAACCAGGCCCACUCAGUUUCUUAUCAAAGGGAUGGUUCAUAUUGAAGAAUUCAGCAGCCCUUCCUCAGCCUGUGUGAUCUUCAAUAACCUUGCCUGUAAAAUGAGUAUAUUGUAUUUUAGGGGUCCUCUAAGUUUUGGGGGGAUUAAAAAAUAUAGCAUACUGGGAAACAUCCAGCUCAUGGCAGGUGCAUAAUAAAUAUGCAUUUCAUUUCCUUCCUUGCAUCUUUCCCUACCUCUUUUUCCCAAGAUGCUGUACCUAAUCUGUAUAUCCAAGACUAUGCCACAAGCAACCUCUCUGUCCCUAAAGCACCCAAGUCCUCUGAUAACCCAUUACAGGGCCUUUCCCACAAGAUUCUCACAAUCUCUGUAUUACCCUAGCCAGUCUGAACCACUUGUGACACCACAGACAGGCCACCUCUAUGCGGUUCAGGGAAAAGAGCACCUCAUUUGGCCGCAUAGUCAGGGGGCCUUCAGUGGUGGGCUUAGUCAGCCUCUUACUUGCUGUUUGACCUAAGGCAGCUCACCUGACCUCUCUGAGUUUCAGUUUCCUCAUCGGAAAAGUAGGCAUGGAAGAAAUGCCUACCAUCUCCCUGUAUGUGAUUCCCUUACAUUUCUCCCGGAAUGUCUCCUAUUUGGAGAAA
RNAcentral lists this long non-coding RNA (3962 nucleotides) under Rhinopithecus bieti (black snub-nosed monkey). RNAcentral describes it as "lncRNA (ENSRBIG00000046191.1)". Lineage: Eukaryota; Metazoa; Chordata; Mammalia; Primates; Cercopithecidae. The record is from RNAcentral.